GUGGAUUAGAUACCCUAGUAGUCCACACCGUAAACGUUGGGCGCUAGGUGUGGGACUCAUUCCACGAGUUCCGUGCCGCAGCUAACGCAUUAAGCGCCCCGCCUGGGGAGUACGGCCGCAAGGCUAAAACUCAAAGGAAUUGACGGGGGCCCGCACAAGCGGCGGAGCAUGCGGAUUAAUUCGAUGCAACGCGAAGAACCUUACCUAGGUUUGACAUAUAGGGAAAUCUCCUGGAGACAGGAGGUCCGUAAGGGCUCUAUACAGGUGGUGCAUGGCCGUCGCCAGCU
Molecule: ribosomal RNA, 287 nt
Filed under: uncultured bacterium
Lineage: Bacteria
Description: partial 16S ribosomal RNA
Rfam family: Bacterial small subunit ribosomal RNA
Source: RNAcentral